UCGAACGGCAGCACGGGGGCAACCCUGGUGGCGAGUGGCGAACGGGUGAGUAAUACAUCGGAACGUGCCCAGUCGUGGGGGAUAACGCAGCGAAAGCUGUGCUAAUACCGCAUACGAUCUACGGAUGAAAGCGGGGGAUCGCAAGACCUCGCGCGAUUGGAGCGGCCGAUGGCAGAUUAGGUAGUUGGUGGGGUAAAGGCUCACCAAGCCUUCGAUCUGUAGCUGGUCUGAGAGGACGACCAGCCACACUGGGACUGAGACACGGCCCAGACUCCUACGGGAGGCAGCAGUGGGGAAUUUUGGACAAUGGGCGCAAGCCUGAUCCAGCCAUUCCGCGUGCAGGAUGAAGGCCUUCGGGUUGUAAACUGCUUUUGUACGGAACGAAAAGGCUCUCUCUAAUACAGGGGGCUCAUGACGGUACCGUAAGAAUAAGCACCGGCUAACUACGUGCCAGCAGCCGCGGUAAUACGUAGGGUGCGAGCGUUAAUCGGAAUUACUGGGCGUAAAGCGUGCGCAGGCGGUGAUGUAAGACAGUUGUGAAAUCCCCGGGCUCAACCUGGGAACUGCAUCUGUGACUGCAUCGCUGGAGUGCGGCAGAGGGGGAUGGAAUUCCGCGUGUAGCAGUGAAAUGCGUAGAUAUGCGGAGGAACACCGAUGGCGAAGGCAAUCCCCUGGGCCUGCACUGACGCUCAUGCACGAAAGCGUG
RNAcentral lists this ribosomal RNA (706 nucleotides) under uncultured bacterium. RNAcentral describes it as "bacterial SSU rRNA". It matches the Rfam family "Bacterial small subunit ribosomal RNA", at positions 62 to 763 of the family's 1533-position model. The record is from RNAcentral.